GGGGACUGACGCCCGGCCCGGCCCGGCCCGCACGCCCGGCCCGGAGACGCGAUCAGCCGGCCCCAUCCGCACUCCGGCGUCCCCGCGCUCCCCCGGUCUCGGGACGCACGGCGGGAGAGCUGGGCUGACGGCGGCCCCGCCCCUCCAGCUGCAGGCCAAUGGGUGACAGGCCCGCCCCUGUCGACCGCGCAGAGGCCAAUCAGGGAGUUCAGCGCGGGAGUGGUCCCGCCUCCCGCGUGGCCCAGCCCCCGACGCCUGGCCUUGUGCAGUGUCGGCGAAGAUCUGCGGAGGGCGUGGUCUUUGGUAUUCUCCCCACCAAACGCAUCAGAAGCCCUGCUGAGGAUCUGAUCCUGUAGAUCAGGCAUGGCAAAGGCGCUGUGGUCACUGGGAGUGGCUCCAUGGGGUCGCCCACGAAGCUUGGGUGCCUCAGCGCCCCUGCCAGCUGGCCUCCUGCCCCUCCUGCCUCCCAGGAGCACCCCAUCUCCCGGGACCACUCUGCGGAUAGACAGAUGGACACAUCCCUGGCCUUCAGGUGACAGAGUGGCCCUCAGGGCCUCCUAA
This 561-nucleotide long non-coding RNA is filed under the name Suricata suricatta (meerkat). RNAcentral describes it as "lncRNA (ENSSSUG00005017475.1)". Lineage: Eukaryota; Metazoa; Chordata; Mammalia; Carnivora; Herpestidae. The record is from RNAcentral.